RNAcentral lists this ribosomal RNA (253 nucleotides) under uncultured bacterium. RNAcentral describes it as "partial 16S ribosomal RNA". It matches the Rfam family "Bacterial small subunit ribosomal RNA", at positions 524 to 776 of the family's 1533-position model. The record is from RNAcentral.
GACAGAGGUGGCAAGCGUUGCUAGGAGUUACUGGGCAUAAAGGGCGCGUAGGCGGUCGCGUGCGUCGGUGGUGAAAUCCCCGGGCUCAACCCGGGAACUGCCUUCGAUACGGCGCGGCUAGAGUGCGGGAGGGGGGAGUGGAACUCCUGGUGGAGCGGUGAAAUGCGUAGAUAUCAGGAGGAACGCCGGUGGCGAAAGCGACUCCCUGGUCCGUAACUGACGCUGAGGCGCGAAAGCUAGGGGAGCAAACGGG